GGAGAACUUGACAAACACAUAUGCAUUGAUGCUGAUUUUUUGCCUGCAUCUUUGCUGUAAUGCACUACAAAAUGGAAAGUGCAACUUUACAGUGGCAAUGGUGCAUACUGCUGGAAAAGUCACUUGCUUCAAGAUGAUGGAUGGACAUGUCCCAGUUUGCAUGUCUGGUGGUCAAACAUCCCAAUCAUGUGACAUUGUGUACAGAGACGGGAUGACGUGUAUAAAGUGGCCAGCAGACAUCGAACUCACAUGUCUGAAGGAUUCUGAUGAAAUGCAUAAGCUGAAUAUUGAAGAAAACAAGUGUGCCCGUGACCAAGAAUCUUUCAGUUGCAAUGGAGAGUACAAAUCUGAGCCUGGAAAUUCUGCAUCAACCCUGUCAUUGAGCAUUCUUCUAAUUACAACUGUUAUUACCGUUGUCCACUGGGUGGCACUAUGACACUACUAAUAGUGUAUAGUUCUAAGACACAUUACUCAUACUUAAAAAAAAGAAUAAUAAUGUGUUGCAAUAAAUCAUUUAUAAUAAACACUGCAAUACUCAUUAAAGAUAAGAAUUUCCAUUUUCACUUCAUAUAUAAGUAAGUGAGUACGUGUGUGUGUGUAUAUAUAUAUAUAUAUAUAUAUAUAUAGUGACGGUGCACAGGUCAUCAAAAAAAGAGAUGUUGUUGCAAGGGGAAUGUGAAGUUAAUGAAUUUAAAACAUAAAAGACUUUUUUAUGGAAUACUGCAGUAUUCCAUAAAAAAAAAAGAAGAAAUGUGCAUUGUGAUUUCAUGGUGACUUUUAAGCCAAAUGGCUAGUCUGGCAAAAGCAAGGGAAAUCAGUAAUGACACAAACACAUGGGCAGUUGAGUAAACAUCCUGCUUGUUUGGUCGAUGCAAUAGGUGUUACAUUUCCAUCGGUGGUGCUAUUGAAAAUGGAGAUAAAUUCAGUAACAAAGCAACAACUGCCGUACUCACACGCAAGUUGUAGGGAGCAUGACUGACAGCAGCUCCUGGGGUUUAUAGUAGAGGUGACUGGGGUGAGGGCCUCAGGGGGCCAGUUCCACAGCGCUCAUUUGAAACCUUUGGUCCCCCAUGGUCUGUUUUCCCAGAAUGCCCU
This 1095-nucleotide long non-coding RNA is filed under the name Sinocyclocheilus anshuiensis. RNAcentral describes it as "lncRNA (ENSSANG00000022456.1)". Lineage: Eukaryota; Metazoa; Chordata; Actinopteri; Cypriniformes; Cyprinidae. The record is from RNAcentral.